RNAcentral lists this unclassified non-coding RNA (402 nucleotides) under soil metagenome. Its description in RNAcentral is "partial contains 5.8S ribosomal RNA, internal transcribed spacer 2, and large subunit ribosomal RNA". The stretch from base 1 to 121 matches the Rfam family "5.8S ribosomal RNA", at positions 35 to 154 of the family's 154-position model. The record is from RNAcentral.
GAUGAAGAACGUAGCAAAAUGCGAUAAGUAAUGUGAAUUGCAGAAUUCAGUGAAUCAUCGAAUCUUUGAACGCACCUUGCGCCCUUUGGCUAUUCCGAAGGGCAUGCCUGUUUGAGUAUCAUGAACACCUCAACUCUCAUGGUUUGCCAUGAUGAGCUUGGACUCUGGGGGUCUUGCUGGCCUAUGGUCAGCUCCUCUCAAAUAAAUCAGCUUGCCAGUGUUUGGUGGCAUCACAGGUGUGAUAACUAUCUACGCUUGUGGUUUUCCAUCAGGUAACCUUCAGUGAUGGAGGUUCGCUGGAGCUCAUAAAUGUCCCUCCUCAGCGAGGACAGCUUUUUGAACGUUUGAUCUCAAAUCAGGUAGGACUACCCGCUGAACUUAAGCAUAUCAAUAAGCGGAGGA